GAGCGGAUUGAAGGGAGCUUGCUCCCUGAUAUUAGCGGCGGACGGGUGAGUAACACGUGGGCAACCUGCCCUGCAGAUGGGGAUAACUCCGGGAAACCGGGGCUAAUACCGAAUAAUCAGUUCCUUCGCAUGAAGGAACUCUGAAAGACGGUUUCGGCUGUCACUGCAGGAUGGGCCCGCGGCGCAUUAGCUAGUUGGUGGGGUAAUGGCCUACCAAGGCGACGAUGCGUAGCCGACCUGAGAGGGUGAUCGGCCACACUGGGACUGAGACACGGCCCAGACUCCUACGGGAGGCAGCAGUAGGGAAUCUUCCACAAUGGACGAAAGUCUGAUGGAGCAACGCCGCGUGAGCGAAGAAGGUUUUCGGAUCGUAAAGCUCUGUUGCGAGGGAAGAACAAGUACGGGAGUAACUGCCCGUACCUUGACGGUACCUCGUUAGAAAGCCACGGCUAACUACGUGCCAGCAGCCGCGGUAAUACGUAGGUGGCAAGCGUUGUCCGGAAUUAUUGGGCGUAAAGCGCGCGCAGGCGGUCCUUUAAGUCUGAUGUGAAAGCCCACGGCUCAACCGUGGAGGGUCAUUGGAAACUGGAGGACUUGAGUACAGAAGAGGAAAGCGGAAUUCCACGUGUAGCGGUGAAAUGCGUAGAGAUGUGGAGGAACACCAGUGGCGAAGGCGGCUUUCUGGUCUGUAACUGACGCUGAGGCGCGAAAGCGUGGGGAGCAAACAGGAU
RNAcentral lists this ribosomal RNA (731 nucleotides) under Sporosarcina sp. S92h. RNAcentral's name for it is "bacterial SSU rRNA". It matches the Rfam family "Bacterial small subunit ribosomal RNA", at positions 64 to 778 of the family's 1533-position model. Lineage: Bacteria; Bacillati; Bacillota; Bacilli; Caryophanales; Caryophanaceae. The record is from RNAcentral.